Molecule: long non-coding RNA, 1228 nt
Organism: Cucurbita moschata (crookneck pumpkin)
Lineage: Eukaryota; Viridiplantae; Streptophyta; Magnoliopsida; Cucurbitales; Cucurbitaceae
Exons: 3
Source: RefSeq, a predicted model, not a curated record
AAAAAAAAAAAAAAAAAAAAAAAAAAAAAAAAAAAAAAAAAAAAAAAAAAAAAAAAAAAAAAAAAAACGGUUGAGGGGCAAAAAGGACAUUUUACCCCUCAGCCCAUUAUAGGGGUCUUGAGCGUCCUCCUCAGAUUACCUGCAAAAGAAGAAGAGUGAGAGAGAAGAACUGAGAGAAAGUUUGAGAGAGAAAACUGGUUUGCCGGAGUUCUCGUCGGAGAGUCGCCGACGGAAUCCAUUUCCUACCAAGACCUGUACUCUGGAGCCCUUCUUGGAGUGAAGUAAGAACUCGUGUGGAGAUUUCCUCCUCCUUCCUCAAGAUCAGAAAGAAAACCCGCAAAGUAAGAUUUCGAACUAUACCUUCCAGAUCUUAGAUCUUUGUUUAGGAGUAGAAUGGUUAAGUCUACUACCUUUGUCCAGGGAGGAUUCGCUGCCGAUCUUGGUGAGGGAAACGGACGAAACGACGAGAUCUGAGAGACUAUCCAAGAACGGUAAGGUUGUUACCGAACCUCUUUUCGACGCUCGAAACUCAUCGUGUGACUAAGCAAAAAUCAAGAAAAUAAUAUUGGCACGUAGGUUGAUAGAUGAUCUAUAACUUUGUUGAAGAAACCACCUCUGUUUGGGUUAAGAAUCGAAAGAUAGAAAAUGGAAAGAAACCUCGGAAAAACUAAUCGGAAGCCUUGAUUUUCUGGUAGGAGGAGAGAGAAGCCGCCGGUGUGCCACGCGUCAACCAACCAGAGGGCCGCGUGCGCCAAUCGCCCCCGGACACGCGUCGAGCGCCGCCUGGGAAAACGCGGCUCCAGCGCUCCUGCGACACGCGUCCCUGGCUCCGCGACCCGACCCGCGCUCCUUGGCUGACCCGAUACCCGCACGGCGAACCGAAACCAGUUGACGACCCGCGGUCCACCCGAAUCACCGCUUCCGACCCGAACUCGCGACCCGCGACUGCAGAAUCUCUGGGCGCGUGACACUCGCGCGUGGAACCCGCGAGUGGUUGUUCCCCAGCGCGUGGCUGGCGCGUGGAAGCGCGUGACCAAAUUGAAGGAAAAUCACCGCCUCUCGAUACGUUAAGUGGGUGGAAACGCUGCUUAAGGACACGCGCCAUCCAGGUACGUGAGGCGUCGAGUCAAGAGAGGGCGCGUCGAUCGAUGUGGGUUGUCACAGAGGAAGCGUGUCCCGGGGCGUCAGUCUAGUUUACUAAAUAGUACACUUUGUCUCACAUGUUCCU